This 468-nucleotide ribosomal RNA is filed under the name uncultured bacterium. RNAcentral describes it as "partial 16S ribosomal RNA". It matches the Rfam family "Bacterial small subunit ribosomal RNA", at positions 28 to 507 of the family's 1533-position model. The record is from RNAcentral.
GACGAACGCUGGCGGCGUGCUUAACACAUGCAAGUCGAACGGAAAGGCCCUGCUUUUGUGGGGUUCUCGAUUGGCGAACGGGUGAGUAACACGUGAGUAACCUGCCCUUGACUUUGGGAUAACUUCAGGAAACUGGGGCUAAUACCGGAUAGGAUCUCCUGCUGCAUGUUGGGGGUUGGAAAGUUUCGGCGGUUGGGGCUGGACUCGCGGCUUAUCAGCUUGUUUGUGUGGUAGUGGCUUACCAAGGCUUUGACGGGUAGCCGGCCUGAGAGGGUGACCGGCCACAUGGGGACUGAGAUACGGCCCAGACUCCUACGGGAGGCAGCAGUGGGGAAUAUUGCACAAUGGGGGGACGCCUGAUGCAGCAACGCCGCGUGCGGGAUGACGGCCUUCGGGUUGUAAACCGCUUUCGCAUGUGACGAAGCGUGAGUGACGGUAAUGGGUAAAGAAGCACCGGCUAACUACGUG